CGGGGCGUGGCUCAGUCUGGUAGAGCACAUGGUUUGGGACCAUGGGGUCGGAGGUUCGAAUCCUCUCGCCCCGACCA
This 77-nucleotide transfer RNA is filed under the name Pseudomonadota bacterium. RNAcentral's name for it is "tRNA-Pro". It matches the Rfam family "tRNA". Rfam says of the family: Transfer RNA (tRNA) molecules are approximately 80 nucleotides in length. Their secondary structure includes four short double-helical elements and three loops (D, anti-codon, and T loops). Lineage: Bacteria; Pseudomonadati; Pseudomonadota. The record is from RNAcentral. RNAcentral also lists the same sequence under 2 other names.